This is a small nucleolar RNA of Jaculus jaculus (lesser Egyptian jerboa), 78 nucleotides long. RefSeq annotates it as small nucleolar RNA R38. The transcript has a single exon. The record is from RefSeq and is a predicted model, not a curated record. NCBI's taxonomy places the organism in Eukaryota, Metazoa, Chordata, Mammalia, Rodentia, Dipodidae.
CUGAGCUGAGGAUGGUGACAAGUUAUCCCUGUCUGAAAUGACAUCUUCUGUGAAGAGUUUUGAUUUACUGAGGCUCAG